AUACUUACUUGGCAGGGGAGAUGCCAUGAUCACGAAGGUGGUUGUCCCAGAGCAAGGCUUAUCCAUUGCACUCUGGAUGUGCCGACCCCUGCGAUUUCCCCAAAUGUGAGAAACUCGACUGCAUCAUUUGCAGUAGUGGGGGACUGUGUUCGCGCUCUCCCCUG
RNAcentral lists this small nuclear RNA (164 nucleotides) under Pteropus vampyrus (large flying fox). Its description in RNAcentral is "U1 spliceosomal RNA (ENSPVAG00000027652.1)". It matches the Rfam family "U1 spliceosomal RNA". From Rfam's summary of the family: U1 is a small nuclear RNA (snRNA) component of the spliceosome (involved in pre-mRNA splicing). Its 5' end forms complementary base pairs with the 5' splice junction, thus defining the 5' donor site of an intron. There are significant differences in sequence and secondary structure between metazoan and yeast U1 snRNAs, the latter being much longer (568 nucleotides as compared to 164 nucleotides in human). The record is from RNAcentral. Lineage: Eukaryota; Metazoa; Chordata; Mammalia; Chiroptera; Pteropodidae.